AAAUAAAUCCGCACAUAUGUCGACACAUUACUCUGGGUGCCUUUUAUAAGGUGGAGAAUGAGGAUAUAUGGAGGCUUAAC
This 80-nucleotide small RNA is filed under the name Acinetobacter baretiae. RNAcentral's name for it is "t44 RNA". It matches the Rfam family "t44 RNA". Rfam says of the family: This family consists of a number of bacterial RNA genes of between 135 and 170 bases in length. The t44 gene is found between the map and rpsB genes in all species in the full alignment apart from Shigella flexneri. Lineage: Bacteria; Pseudomonadati; Pseudomonadota; Gammaproteobacteria; Moraxellales; Moraxellaceae. The record is from RNAcentral.